GAUGAACGCUGGCGGCGUGCCUAAUACAUGCAAGUCGAGCGAACGGACGAGAAGCUUGCUUCUCUGAUGUUAGCGGCGGACGGGUGAGUAACACGUGGAUAACCUACCUAUAAGACUGGGAUAACUUCGGGAAACCGGAGCUAAUUCCGGAUAAUAUUUUGAACCGCAUGGUUCAAAAGUGAAAGACGGUCUUGCUGUCACUUAUAGAUGGAUCCGCGCUGCAUUAGCUAGUUGGUAAGGUAACGGCUUACCAAGGCAACGAUGCAUAGCCGACCUGAGAGGGUGAUCGGCCACACUGGAACUGAGACACGGUCCAGACUCCUACGGGAGGCAGCAGUAGGGAAUCUUCCGCAAUGGGCGAAAGCCUGACGGAGCAACGCCGCGUGAGUGAUGAAGGUCUUCGGAUCGUAAAACUCUGUUAUUAGGGAAGAACAUAUGUGUAAGUAACUGCGCACAUCUUGACGGUACCUAAUCAGAAAGCCACGGCUAACUACGUG
Molecule: ribosomal RNA, 497 nt
Filed under: uncultured bacterium
Lineage: Bacteria
Description: partial 16S ribosomal RNA
Rfam family: Bacterial small subunit ribosomal RNA
Source: RNAcentral